GCCCUUAGAGUUUGAUCAUGGCUCAGAACGAACGCUGGCGGCAGGCUUAACACAUGCAAGUCGAACGAAGGCUUCGGCCUUAGUGGCGGACGGGUGAGUAACGCGUGGGAACGUGCCCUUUGCUACGGAACAGUCCUGGGAAACUGGGUUUAAUACCGUAUACGCCCCCCCAAUCAAAUUUCAUUUGAUUGGUGAGUAUCAGUCUUAUCAAAUCUCGAAUGAGGUUUGAUGGGGGGGGAAAGAAUUUCGGCAAAGGAUCGGCCCGCGUUGGAUUAGGUAGUUGGUGGGGUAAUGGCCUACCAAGCCGACGAUCCAUAGCUGGUUUGAGAGGAUGAUCAGCCACACUGGGACUGAGACACGGCCCAGACUCCUACGGGAGGCAGCAGUGGGGAAUCUUAGACAAUGGGGGCAACCCUGAUCUAGCCAUGCCGCGUGAUCGAUGAAGGCCUUAGGGUUGUAAAGAUCUUUCGCUGGGGAAGAUAAUGACGGUACCCAGUAAAGAAGCCCCGGCUAACUCCGUGCCAGCAGCCGCGGUAAUACGGAGGGGGCUAGCGUUGUUCGGAAUUACUGGGCGUAAAGCGCGCGUA
Molecule: ribosomal RNA, 587 nt
Filed under: uncultured Alphaproteobacteria bacterium
Lineage: Bacteria; Pseudomonadati; Pseudomonadota; Alphaproteobacteria
Description: bacterial SSU rRNA
Rfam family: Bacterial small subunit ribosomal RNA
Source: RNAcentral